Molecule: long non-coding RNA, 1098 nt
Filed under: Homo sapiens (human)
Lineage: Eukaryota; Metazoa; Chordata; Mammalia; Primates; Hominidae
Description: non-protein coding lnc-VWA8-8:1
Source: RNAcentral
AGAGGCAGCAAGAGCUACACAGCAAUAGACUGCUUCACCUACUCCUGUGAGCACUGGGUUCUCAGAUCCGCCAUCUUUUCCAAGGAGCCCUCUAGUCCGGCGUCUUAUCCCAUGGAUGUAACACAACUUCCUUCAGAACAUAAGCCCAUGAAAGCAGGGCCUUUGCUGGUCUUGUUCACUGGUGAAUCUCAGGAACCCAGAACAAUACCUGGCCUGAGUAGGACCUGGAGCACAAUCAAUGCUGCACAGGUUAAUGCCAUCAUCAGCUUCCACCCUCAUGGAGAGGUAGAAUAGUAUCAGACAACUUACUUUCAAAUCCCAGCUCUACUGCUACGUAGCUUUGUGCUAGGUGCCGUCCUCAUGCUGUGUCCUCAGCUGGAAUACUCUCCCCUCUGCCUUCUCCUGGCUACAUGUGCUCAUCCAUUAAAUCUCUGUGGACAUGCCACUUCCUCCAGGAAGCCCUUCCUGACCCUACCAGUCUGGAUGAUGGGUUUCCUUGCUUCUGGUUGGAAAUUCAGCUACUGCUAUAUUAUUGGAAAACAGAUUUCUGUAAAAGAUGAUAAAGUGAAGCGCUUACGGGAAAAACAAGAUUUCCCCCUGUCAUGCCACCAGGGGCUCCCAGGCAGCGCCCCCACCUCUCCUCCACAGCCAGUAGCUGCCCUGAGAAACUUCUAGGAGGUGAAACUAACACGCAGCGGGAGGGGCUGACCUGUUCCGGAUGGGGUAGGCUGGAACCACCUCGUGCUGUGGAAGGCUGAGGUUUGGUGGCCAUUUCCUAGCCUUAGGUUAAAUCCUGUCUUAGAUUAGGGUAUGGUGAAGACUCCCCUCAGAGGAAUUCCUCUCACUCUCAUGCCAACACACCCAGCAUAUGGUGAUACCAACCGGACCGUGAGCAGUGUGGGGUUCCGUGCGCUGCGCUCCGUGCUCAGCAGAUUCUUGCUCUUGCCUGGUCCUCUCCCUCCUUUCCCACUGGGAAAGCCAUCGAAAUUCACCCAAGGGAGCCCAAGAAAGGGCAAAAGAGCCUCUUAAGCUGCAGCCGUGAGGACACUGAGGAAUCAGAACAUGUCUGGAUUAAAGGUGCUCUUUCUGAGAACAGAC